UAGGGAAUCUUCCACAAUGGGCGCAAGCCUGAUGGAGCAACGCCGCGUGUGUGAUGAAGGCUUUCGGGUCGUAAGCACUGUUGUAUGGGAAGAAAUGCUAGAAUAGGGAAUGAUUCUAGUUCGACGGUACCAUACCAGAAAGGGACGGCUAAAUACUUGCCAC
Molecule: ribosomal RNA, 163 nt
Filed under: uncultured bacterium
Lineage: Bacteria
Description: partial 16S rRNA
Rfam family: Bacterial small subunit ribosomal RNA
Source: RNAcentral